AGCAGAGUGGCUCGAUGGAAAGAGCCCGGGCUUGGGAGUCAGAGGCCGUGGGUUCGAAUCCCGGCUCUGCCA
This 72-nucleotide transfer RNA is filed under the name Ornithorhynchus anatinus (platypus). It matches the Rfam family "tRNA". From Rfam's summary of the family: Transfer RNA (tRNA) molecules are approximately 80 nucleotides in length. Their secondary structure includes four short double-helical elements and three loops (D, anti-codon, and T loops). Further hydrogen bonds mediate the characteristic L-shaped molecular structure. tRNAs have two regions of fundamental functional importance: the anti-codon, which is responsible for specific mRNA codon recognition, and the 3' end, to which the tRNAs corresponding amino acid is attached (by aminoacyl-tRNA synthetases). tRNAs cope with the degeneracy of the genetic code in two manners: having more than one tRNA (with a specific anti-codon) for a particular amino acid; and 'wobble' base-pairing, i.e. permitting non-standard base-pairing at the 3rd anti-codon position. Lineage: Eukaryota; Metazoa; Chordata; Mammalia; Monotremata; Ornithorhynchidae. The record is from Rfam by way of RNAcentral.